This 3491-nucleotide long non-coding RNA is filed under the name Canis lupus familiaris (dog). Its description in RNAcentral is "lncRNA (ENSCAFG00845021333.1)". The record is from RNAcentral. Lineage: Eukaryota; Metazoa; Chordata; Mammalia; Carnivora; Canidae.
GUGGAAAUAGAGGUGACAGCAAGUGAGGAAUGGAUCACUUUUACUUCUUCCUCCAGCAGAUCUUGUCCUUCCGUUUCUGGAAUCCUCACCUCCGGACAAAAGAUCAGGUUAUGUGCAUUUGAACUGAUGUCCAACUGUUUCCCCAUUUUUCUCCUCCCUCCCCCCCCACAUACACAUGCGCACACACACACACGUGCACACAGAUAUACACAUACACACUUCAGAGAGGACAAGUAAAAUUCAGGCCAAGAUACCUGUGCUUGUGAAUGACCACAUUACCCUUAUUACUGGGGUUCAGAGCAGCAAACUCUAAGAGAGGCAUUUUCUAGAGUCUGUAAACUUACCGUUCAUCUUUUAUUUAGUCGUAUGUGCAAGAGAGGAGAAGUAGGGUAACUGGAAACCCCUUCUGAUUGGUCCUUCCCAUGGAAAAGUGAUGUUUAGAGACACAGAAACCACAUGGGUCUUGGGUUGUCGCUCUACCCCCUUUUGAAAGUAUAAGCUGCUGUUUUCUUGAUAAAAAUGAUAGGCCUCGUGGAGUAAAUAAAUAAUUUCUUGGCUAUUGCUCUUGGUCCAUGGCUGCAGUCUAACUUUUGUACAAAGAGGCCAGUGAAGAGAAGAUAAAUAUAGAGAGAGAAGAAAGAAAGUAAGACACUAAGUUAUCCCAAAGGGCAUUCCUGUAUUAGUCAUCUUAUAAAAAUUAUAUGUACCACAGAAUAUCUAUUUUUAGAGACCAGGAGGUUAUGUGAAGCAGUUCAGAUGUCGGCAAAGACCCAGAGGCCAGCUCCCAGCGAUGAUAUUGGAUAUUUGGAUAUUUGUUUUCUUUAUUUUAACUGUCCAGAGCUGGUACUGACCACAUGGAUAUGUUGGCCACUUGGGGACGGCGAGACAAGAUCCAUGUGCUUCUUCAAAGACAUCUGAGGCCCUGAGUGAUUCCUUUGUGUUAUUUUUGUCCAUCUUCGGGGUCCAGGCGCCACACACAAACACACACACACACACACACACUCAGGAGCAGUUCAUCCUGCACGUUCUCUACUACCAUGCUCAACAGAGGCCACGUCAGGAGAGGAUGUCCCCAGCCCUCAUACAAUUACAAUUCGGCUUUUAUCAAAAGCUUGAAAGACCAUGAGGACAAGACCUCCCCAUUUCUCCCAAUGAUCUGAUUAGGGUACCUGUUUCGCACUUGUGACGCCUUGCCUGAGUUUACAGGCCAGAUCAUUUGCAGCUUCUUUGCAGAGUAGAGCACACUUGAUUUGGCUACUGAGCAGUUGAAAAUCUGUCAGAUUUAGUGAUUCUCAUUGAUAUAAGUUUAUAUACUGCAGUUUAUAUACUGCACCCGAAAUGCUCGACGUUCCUAUUUGCAGCACAUUGUUUUGCCUUUCUUUUCUUUAUUCAGUAAAACUCUGAUCCACGUAGCUUCUCAAGGCUCAGCUCUCUUCUUUGCCCAAAAGGGCGGUCUCACAGGGUGAUGCCGCCCUAGGUCACACUGCAGAGUGCGGUGGUUAGGCUUCCGUGUGUCCACAACCCUCCUGCUUUCUCGCCAUCCAGAAUCGGGGACUGUUUCUACCCCACACUCCAUCCAGGUAAUGGGAGAAAUGCGAGGCUGGAGAAGGAGACUAGGGUUACCCAAGGGGCUUCUCCGGGCUGCUGGGGUCAGCUUGCCAGAUUUAGCAAAAUAAAAUCACAAGACACUCAGUCCAGUUGAAUUUCAGAUGGAUGACGAACAUAUAUUUUAAUGUAAGUAGGUCCCACCCAAACAAUACUAGGACCUGCUUAUACUAAUAACCUUGCAUUGUUUAUCAGGAUUUCAGUUGAACGGGGCACCCUGUAUUUUACCUGGCAGCUCCUUGCUGGGGGGCACCUUCCUAAGGGGCAAUUGCAUGGACUCCAGCCCAUCCAAACCCCAUUUCAGACCACAUGGCACUUAGAAAAUAGAAUAGCACUCCACACCUCCUAGAUCCCCCAGCACCAAUUUUCCUAUCCUUAAGAGGACCUAAAGAUUCCCUGGCUUUGGAAAUGACUUCCAGGAUCCUAAUUUUUAGGGGCAUGGGAAGCAGCAGAUGGGGUGUGUCAACCCAACUCCACUGCGUUCCUUUCAUUCAACUUUUUUGCAGUUGAGGAGACCUGGCCACUCCCCACCAAAUUCUCAGAUCAAGGUAUGAUUUUAAUAGCUCAAUAGCAGUAGAAUUAAAAUGUAGCAUGUUGGUACCACUUUUCAUCUAAAGUGUUCAAAGUGUGUGCUUUGUACUUAGAGCUGACCCUCCAAACACUGAGUGAGGGAAGAAUUUUAGGAAAAUAGGUCUUAAGGAGCUGUGGCCUUAUCCAAAGUCUCACAGCUGACUCUCAGUGGAACAAGUCUCGACAUACCUCCCGGCUUCUCUUUCACCAGGCCUGUCCACACCUAAGUGCCAUCUCCUCAACAGACAGCAUUUGGCUGGUUCUUGUGUCCUUCUGGUCACAGGGAAAUGGCUCAAGGUCAUUGAUUGCCCUUUCUUCCUUCCCUGGCACUUCACUGACUCCAAGACACUAAUUAUGCAAAGACGUGGCCGUAACUAACUUUGAAAGAUGCUAAACCACCAUUAAUCAUUAAUUUCUUAUGUUUAUUAUUUAAUUUUACGGUAACAGUGGCACAUUAGAGAACACUUACAAAAUUCAGAUAAACAUAAAGAUGGAAAUUAUAAUCACUCAGUCAUACUCUUAACUGGAAAAACCCCUAUUAAUAUUUUGCUCUUUCUCUUUCUACCUGUUUUUUAAGGCAUAUGUGAAUAUACAUGUCCAUCCACGUUUGUGUGUCAGUGCCUAGAAACAUACUUUGUAGAAUAAUAAUGUCCUUUAAAUACUUUAUCCUGAUUUUUCACUUCACAUACUUCAUAUGUAUUUUCCAAGGGCAUUUCAGUGUUCUUUGAGAAAAUGGGGUUUAAGUGUUUCCCAAUAUUCACAUCUGUUUCUUUUAAUGCACCCCAGGGAGCUCUGAAUUUUGAAUAGGCCCUUUAGGGUCCUGAUGUGAUGGUCUAGCCAAAUGGAAAAGGCUCUGAAUGGCUAGAGAUGAGUGUCUACCCCUGGUCCAUUUAAAGUGCUCCAGAGACCUCAGAAAACCAGCCACACAUUUGUGUCACUUUCCCCGUAUGAAAAGUGGGGAUGUGCCCUGUGUCCUUCUCAAGCUAAAUGAAAUGUAGAGAUAACCAGGGCCCCACUUGAGAACCCAAAUAUUGUUCUAGCUCUUUGAGAGACAUAUUCUCUCCUGACACUUGAUGAGCAUUCUAUGUAUCAUCCCUUGUUUGAAAUUAAGUCAAAAUAACACUUACCGAGUGCUUAGUAUCCAUGUGGCCAUCUAUGCAUUCAGCCAAGAUUUAUUAAAUGUCAGCCACCUGCCAAGCACCAUACUAGGUACUUAGACAUAUAUGAUUCCAUUUAACACCUUGUGGGAUAUUAUUAUUGUUAGUGCUAUUGUUAAUGCUCUUUUUCUAAAAAAAAAAAAAAAAAAAAAAAAAAAA